UUCCCAAAUGGGCCGAGUAACAGUGGCCACCAAAUUGGGUUCCUAAUUACAUGAUAACAAAUGGGUUUUAUAAGAUUUUUAAUGCACAAUUCCCAAAAACAAAAGAAGGAUAACUACGCAUGUUAUUAGAACUGAGGAAGAAAUCAUUUUUCCUUCUUCUAGCUGAUACUGUCGAGUUUUUCCCCCAAAAGCAGAAUCACCAUUUUCUUCCUUCAAGUUCAAUUCGGAGAGAAAUUUCAUAUAGUAGCUGCAAUACUUUGAUAAUAAAGGUUCGAGUGGCAGUGUAGAAUGAACAAGCAAGGAUUUCUAUUUCAUUAAGCGUAUCAGGUUAAGCUGUGAUGUAGAUGGAAGCAAGCAGAGCAAAGCCUUCAGAGUAUAUUAAAUUAGGCUCAGGAUUCCAUGUCUUCAUACAUGUAAUCCACAUGAAUUAUUCCGCUGCAACACUCAGUCUAUUCUACUUUGUUGAUGUGUUGUACAUAUUUUAAAUCAAUAGCUUUGAGAAUUAUAUCACUUGAAAGUUAGACAACUUGUCGUUGUGUAUUGUAAGUUGUCUACUCAUGAGUUUUAAAAGUGAUUGCUUAUGGUUAUCCAAUAUUAAAGUAAUUCAUCGUUAAA
Salvia miltiorrhiza (redroot sage) is the source of this 615-nucleotide long non-coding RNA. RefSeq lists it as uncharacterized. The record is from RefSeq and is a predicted model, not a curated record. NCBI's taxonomy places the organism in Eukaryota, Viridiplantae, Streptophyta, Magnoliopsida, Lamiales, Lamiaceae. The transcript has 3 exons.